AUGACCCCAGGUCAGGUAGGAUUACCCGCUGAGUUUAAGCAUAUCUAUAAUCGGAGGAAAAAAAACUUACAAGGAUUUUCUUUGUAACGGUGAGCGAACUGGGAAUAGCCCAGCCUUAGAAUUGGGUAGCUCUGUCGUCUGAAUUAUAGUUUGGAGAAGCGUCCUCAGCGGUGGACCAGGCCCAAGUUCCCUGAAAGGGGGUACCAGAGAGGGUGAGAGCCCCGCUAUGCCCGGACCCUGUCGCACCCAGAGGCACUGUCUACGAGUCGGGUUGUUUGGGAAUGCAACCCAAAUCGGGCGGUGAAUUUCAUCCAAGGCUAAAUACGGGUGACAGAACGAUAGCAAAAAAGUACCGCGAGGGAAAGAUAAAGAGGACUUUGAAAAGAGAGUAAAAGAGUGCUUGAAAUUAUCGGGAGGGAAUCGGAUGGGGGAUGGCGAUGCGCCCCGAUCGACUAUGGAAUGGCGACGAGCUGUCCGCCGAUCGACUCGGGGCAUAGACCAGCGUGGAUUGGGGGGCGGCCAAAGCUCGGGCUCUCAAUACACUCAUGGAACACCGUCUCAGCGAUUGUGGAAGGUAGCGUGCGCCUCCAGCGUGCUUCGGCAUCUACGCGCUACGGGCGCUGGCCUAUGGACUCCCCAUUAGACCCGUCUUGAUAAACGGACAAAGGAGUCUGACAUGUGUGCGAGUCAACGGUCGAGUAAACCCAUAAGGCGUAAGGAAGUUGAUUGGUGGUAUCCCCCCGAGGGGUGCACCGCCGAUCGACCUUGAUCUUCUGAGAAGGGUUCGAGUGUGAGCAUACCUGUUGGGACCCAAAAGAUGGUGAACUAUUCCUGAGCGGGGUGAAGCCAAAGGAAACUCUGGUGGAGGCCCGCAACGAUACUGAUGUGCAAAUUGUUCGUCUGACUUAGGUGUAGGGCCCGCGGCUGCUUUGUUGAGCUGUGCUAAGGAAUCAAGAACUCCAAGUGGUCCAUUUUUGGUAAGCAUAACUGGUGAUGCGGGACGAAUCGAAAGCCGGGUUACGGUCCCAAAUUGUACGCUAACCUAGAUCCCACAAAGGGUGUUGGUCGAUUAAGAUAGCAGGACGGUGGUCAUGGAAGUCAAAAUCCGCUAAGGAGUGUGUAAAAACUCACCUGCCUAAUAAACUAGCCCCAAAAAUAGAUGGCACUUAAGCGCGUGACCUACACCUGGCCGUCGGGGAAAGUUCCCGGCCCCGAUGACUAGGAGGGCGCGACGGUCGCUGCAAAACCUUGGGCGCGAGCCACGCAGAGCGGCCAUCGGUGUAGAUAUUAGUGGUAGUAGCAAAUAUUUAAAUGAGAACUUUGAAGGAAGAAGAGGGGAAAGGUUCUAUGUGAACGACACUUGCACAUGGAUUAGUCGAUCCUAAGGAUCAGGGAAACCCCGAUAGAUAGCACAUUUUACGCGUACUUCGAAAGAGAAUUGGGUUAAAAUUCCAGGACCAGGACGUGGCAUUCGAUGGAAAUGUUAGGAAGUUCGAAGACGUCGGCGAGAGCCUCAGGAAGAGUUAUCUUUUCUGUUUAACAUCCUGCCCACCCUAGAAUCGGCUCAGCAGGAGGUAGGGUCCAGCGGUUGGAAGAGCACCGCACAUCGCGUGGUGUCCAGUGCACUACUAGUGGCCCUUGAAAAUCCAGAGGACCGAAUGUCGUCCAUGCCUGGACGUACUCAUAACCACAUCAGGUCUCCAAGGGGAACAACCUCUGGUCAAUGGAACAAUGUAGGGAAGGGAAGUCGGCAAAAUGGAUCUGUGACUUCUGGAAAAGGAUUGGCACUGAGGUAUGGGAAAGGGGGUUGCAGUCCCGAACCCAUCGGCUGUCAGUGGACUACUCGAGCUGUUCCCGCAGCGAGAGCGGGUCACCGCAUGCCGGUCGGGGGACGAACUAGGAACGGGUCCUUCAGGGGCCUUCGCCGCGCGUCGAACAGCCAACUCAAAAUUGGUACGGACAAGGGGAAUCUGACUGUUUAAUUAAAAUAAAGUAUUGCAAUGGUCCUAAUGGAUGUUCACACAUUGUGAUUUCUGCCCAGUGCUUUGAAUGUCAAAGUGAAGAAACUCAACCAAGCGUGGGUAAAUGACGAGAGUAACUAUGUCUCUCUUAACGUAGCCAAAUGCCUGGUCAUCUAAUUAGUGAUGCACAUGAAUGGAUUAAAGAGAUUCCCACUAUCCCUGUCUACUAUCCAGCGAAACCACAAGGGAACGGGCUUGGCAGAAUCAGCAAGGAAAGAAGACCCUCUUGAGCUUAACUCUACUCCGACUUUGUGAAAUGACUUGAGAGGUGUAGUAUAAGUGAGAUCCGAAAGGCGAAAGUGAAAUACCACUACUUUUAACGUUAUUUUACUUAUUACGUGAAUGGAAAGCGGGGCAAUACCCCUCUUUUUGGACCCAAGGCUCGCACUGCGGGCAGAUCUGGGCAGACGACAUUGUCAGGUGGGGACUUUAGCUGGGGUGGCACAUCUGUUAAAAGAUAACGCAGGUGUCCUAAGAUGAGCUCAACGAGAACAGAAAUAUCAUGUGGAACAGAAGGGUAAAAGCUUGUUUGAUUCUGAUUUCCAUUACGAAUACGAACCAUGAAAGCAUGACCUAACAAUCCUUUAGACCUUCAAAAUUUGAAGCUAAAGGUGUCAGAAAAGUGUUACCACAGGGAUAAUUGGCCUGUUGCAGCCAAAUGUUCAUAGCGACAUUGCUUUUUCAUCCAUCGAUGUCAGCUCUUCCUAUCAUUGUGAAGCAGAAUUCACAAAGUGUUGGACUGUUCACCCACCAAUAAGGAACGUGAGUUAGGUUUAGACCGUCGUGAGACAGGUUAGGUUUACCCUACUUAUGACAGUGUCGCAGUAGUAAUUCAACCUAGUAAGAGAGGAAACGUUGAUUCUCACAAUAUGUCAUUGCGCUUGGUUGAAAAGCCAGUGCCGCAAAGCUACCGUGUGUUGGAUUAUGACUGAACGUCUCUAAGUCAGAAUUCGAAUUAGAAGCGACGCAUGCGCCCGCUGUUCGCUUACCAAACCUCAGUAGGGGCCUCGGCAUCGCAACUAGAGGUUUUUCAUGAUGCGGAGUACGGGUUAAGUGGUCAGCGAUUAGAGGUUUUUGUGACUUUC
RNAcentral lists this ribosomal RNA (3106 nucleotides) under Capsicum annuum. Its description in RNAcentral is "eukaryotic LSU rRNA". It matches the Rfam family "Eukaryotic large subunit ribosomal RNA". Lineage: Eukaryota; Viridiplantae; Streptophyta; Magnoliopsida; Solanales; Solanaceae. The record is from RNAcentral.